This 254-nucleotide ribosomal RNA is filed under the name uncultured bacterium. RNAcentral describes it as "partial 16S ribosomal RNA". It matches the Rfam family "Bacterial small subunit ribosomal RNA", at positions 524 to 776 of the family's 1533-position model. The record is from RNAcentral.
UACGUAGGGUGCGAGCGUUGUCCGGAAUUAUUGGGCGUAAAGAGCUCGUAGGCGGUCUGUCGCGUCGGUCGUGAAAACUUGGGGCUUAACCCUGAGCUUGCGGUCGAUACGGGCAUGACUGGAGUUCGGCAGGGGAGACUGGAAUUCCUGGUGUAGCGGUGAAAUGCGCAGAUAUCAGGAGGAACACCGGUGGCGAAGGCGGGUCUCUGGGCCGAUACUGAUGCUGAGGAGCGAAAGCGUGGGGAGCGAACAGG